ACCGCGCAUAACCUUCAGACAGAGACAGUGAAAGGCGCUCGCAGCUUCCCCCACACGAUGUGUCGAUAUGACGUCGCUGUUGUCUCGUCUUCAGGCGGGAUGAAAACAGUCAGCUUGUACUCCAAACAGCUGCCCGUGCAACAACCGACGGUGGGCCAGCUGAGGAAGGAAGCGCUCAAAGCGUUUUCCACAGAGAAAUAUUUGGGUGAAAUCCGUCUGGUCGUUGAAGGAAAGCCACUGGACGACGACUCUGCGUCGCUGUCCGACUGCAAAAUCAAGCCCAACUCUGUUGUGCAGAUGGUGACCAAGGUUCACGGAGGCUGACUGAGCUCCAUCGUCGAGCUCCAACCGUUUAAUACAGACCAAGGACAAAAAUGCUUUUGUACUGUUAAACCUGUGCAGUUAUUUCGAGCUGCAGUUUCUCAGGGUGUAAACAAUUCUUUAGCUCCUUUUUUCUUUUUUCUCUUUUUUUGUUGUUGAUAAAUUAUGUGGGACACCAAUAACAAAUCGAAGGGUACAAACACCGCUGAAAUUAAAUGCUCCAUCUCAUCGGCUUCUGUGCUCGGAGCCAAUGAUUAUAAAUAAUAAAUCAGUCAUGUUAGCUAUAUCAUUAGCAUUACAGGACACCAAGAAAUGAGAAAAUGUAAAGGCACACAGAACAACCUCAAGAAAGUAAAUAAUGUACUGAUUUUUAUUAUUUGUGCUUUGAUGAUGUAAAAAAAAAAAAAAAAACAUAUACCAUUGUACUUGUCAUGGACUGGAUUGCACUUUUAGAUUACUUACUUGCAAAAAGUUACGCAAGAAGUAAAAUUCCAAUUUGCUUUGUUUUAACUUGAAUAAACUUUCUCGGAGGAGUCA
Long non-coding RNA from Oreochromis niloticus (Nile tilapia), 858 nucleotides. RefSeq lists it as uncharacterized. Lineage: Eukaryota; Metazoa; Chordata; Actinopteri; Cichliformes; Cichlidae. The record is from RefSeq and is a predicted model, not a curated record. The transcript is spliced from 2 exons.